AGACGGCGCUGCUGCAGUGCGUCUUCGCACUUACGCGGAGCGGUAAUGUGAGGAAGCCUCCCGCCAAACAGAUGAGGGAGGAGGAGGAGGGGAGAGGCCAGAGAGAGAAGCGGCUUUCGGGAAGGAAAGUGUGAUCUAGUAGGUGGAAUAGUCCUCUCCAAACUUUGACCUGAGGUAAUGACCCUCUAUUUGGAUUUGGAUUACACAAAGUUUAACGUUUUUUGGAAAAAUCCUACCUAGGUAAUGUGUAGUUCUCAAUGCAUCAUGUCAGGCAGCUUAUGAUGCCAAUUUGUCCCAUGGAAAGAAAAAUGUACUGUAUUUCACUGUGCUGAAUGCAACUGCCAAUCAAGAUAGUCUGCAGCCUACCUGUGGACCUUAAUGAUUUCACAUGUUCUGCGGAAGAAUUUCUCCCCCACCUCCAAUGACUAUGGCAUUCCUUGGGAAAGUUAGCUUGGUAUUUACUUUUCCCCAGCAGGUCCCAAGCUGACCAAAAAAAUAAAUAAAAAUAAAAAAUAAAAUCAACAACAACAACAACAACAACAAAAACACAAAACAACAAUCAGUUAGCCAGGCUGUUUCAAUGGCCCAAUAAGUUCCAUGAUAGCAAGAAUUCUAUGAAUAAUAAUGGGACAUGGAAUCCCAUGCAGCCUCGCGGAGAGCUCAGCCAAAUCACCCGGAAAUUCUGCUUCAUCACAGCCCUUUCUCUUGCCAUAAAACUGCUUGGGCUCUGUCUUUGCUUCCACAUCAUUUAAGCCUUUCUGCCGACCCUCCAGCAAUUCCAUCCCUGGGGCCUCCGCCCGUCACUAUGCUGGGGCUCCCCAGGGCUUCUCAAGAGGCUCCGUCAGCUCCAUCCUAGAGGCCUCUUCACAGCACCAGAUGAAGUCCACACCUCCUUUUGUAGGACGUUCAAGCAACACAGGCCAGAGUAAGGAUCAAAGUAAAAGUCAUCCUAAAUUCACCACUGAGAGAUACCACUGCCGGUAAACAGGAGACUGCUUUUUCGGAUGUCUACGCAUUUAUACAUCUUGCCCAGUAACAAUGGAGCUGUGGCUGGCGAAUCUGGAUGUUAUGCUGGGACAUUAUUUUUUCACGGGGUUUAAUUUCUCUGUCUCUUUAAAAGUUGAAUGGACACUGCUUCCAUUUCCCUUUGUGAUCAAUAGAGUGGGCUCAUAUUUGUAAUUUCUACACUCAUCAAAUUAUGUCAGUAGGACAUAAUUUCUUGAUGGCCACUUAAUCCUGUAAGUGAUUUGCUCAACACCUUUGAUUUUAAUUAAGUGGUUCCUGAGAAUUGUUAAAACAGCAAGCUGUGAAUGGAAAAUAGAUUCAGGAAUUUAAAUCACACUGAAUCCCUGGACAUGAGCUCUAUGAGGGUAGAGAAUUUUGUCUGUUUUGUACACUGCUGUCUCAACAAUAGCUGGCACUUACUAGGCAUUGAGUAAAUAUUUACGGAAUAAAUGAACGAGAGAAUCUAAUAAGAAAGAAUGACAACAGCUGAUAUACUUGGAUGCAGAAAAAAAGAAUGGAAUAACUUUGAAUAGUUUAAUGUCAAAGUGGAUCCCUUUUCUCAC
Homo sapiens (human) is the source of this 1568-nucleotide long non-coding RNA. Ensembl annotates it as C21orf62 antisense RNA 1. Its record names the gene C21orf62-AS1. The record is from Ensembl. Lineage: Eukaryota; Metazoa; Chordata; Mammalia; Primates; Hominidae.